Panicum virgatum (switchgrass) is the source of this 142-nucleotide long non-coding RNA. RefSeq lists it as uncharacterized. Lineage: Eukaryota; Viridiplantae; Streptophyta; Magnoliopsida; Poales; Poaceae. The transcript has 3 exons. The record is from RefSeq and is a predicted model, not a curated record.
AUUUCAACCAACACAAGCACCACCACGACCUUUCGGAUCACAACAGGGGUAUGAUGCUGGACUUUCUUCGUAUUACCCUACGGCGACAGCAGAAGGAACGCAAGGAUCGCACCACCAGCUUCCUGAUAUGGGUCAUUCCUCG